UCUCCGUUGGUGAACCAGCGGAGGGAUCAUUACCGAGUCUACAACUCCCAAACCCCUGUGAACAUACCAUUUGUUGCCUCGGCGGUGCCUGCUUCGGCAGCCCGCCAGAGGACCCAAACCCUUGAUUUUAUACAGUAUCUUCUGAGUAAAUGAUUAAAUAAAUCAAAACUUUCAACAACGGAUCUCUUGGUUCUG
This 195-nucleotide unclassified non-coding RNA is filed under the name plant metagenome. Its description in RNAcentral is "partial contains small subunit ribosomal RNA, internal transcribed spacer 1, and 5.8S ribosomal RNA". The record is from RNAcentral.